This 252-nucleotide ribosomal RNA is filed under the name uncultured bacterium. RNAcentral describes it as "partial 16S ribosomal RNA". It matches the Rfam family "Bacterial small subunit ribosomal RNA", at positions 524 to 776 of the family's 1533-position model. The record is from RNAcentral.
UACGAGGGGGGCAAGCGUUGUUCGGAAUUAUUGGGCGUAAAGCGCGCGCAGGCGGCUGUUUAAGUCUGGUGUUUAAGCCCGGGGCUCAACCCCGGUUCGCACCGGAAACUGGGCAGCUUGAGUGCAGGAGAGGAAAGUGGAAUUCCACGUGUAGCGGUGAAAUGCGUAGAGAUGUGGAGGAACACCAGUGGCGAAGGCGACUUUCUGGCCUGUAACUGACGCUGAGGCGCGAAAGCGUGGGGAGCGAACAGG